This 498-nucleotide ribosomal RNA is filed under the name uncultured bacterium. RNAcentral's name for it is "partial 16S ribosomal RNA". It matches the Rfam family "Bacterial small subunit ribosomal RNA", at positions 28 to 507 of the family's 1533-position model. The record is from RNAcentral.
GACGAACGCUGGCGGCGUGCCUAAUACAUGCAAGUCGAGCGGACGAAUCGAAAGCUUGCUUUUGAUUCGUUAGCGGCGGACGGGUGAGUAACACGUGGGCAACCUGCCCUGUAGACGGGGAUAACACCGAGAAAUCGGUGCUAAUACCGGAUAACACGAAAUGUCGCAUGACGUUUCGUUGAAAGACGGCGCAAGCUGUCGCUACAGGAUGGGCCCGCGGCGCAUUAGCUAGUUGGUGAGGUAGCGGCUCACCAAGGCGACGAUGCGUAGCCGACCUGAGAGGGUGAUCGGCCACACUGGGACUGAGACACGGCCCAGACUCCUACGGGAGGCAGCAGUAGGGAAUCUUCCGCAAUGGACGAAAGUCUGACGGAGCAACGCCGCGUGAGCGAAGAAGGCCUUCGGGUCGUAAAGCUCUGUUGUUAGGGAAGAACAAGUAACGCAGUAACUGGCGUUACCGUGACGGUACCUAACGAGAAAGCCACGGCUAACUACGUG